UAUCUGUUGAUCAUCUUUCAAAGGUACUUAAUUUUUAUCCUCUUGCAAGAGGAAUGGAGCUAUUCAGUUAUUGAGAAAGUUUUUUCAAUCCAUUCACAUCUAUUUGCUUGAAAUGUGGAAAAACAUAUGUACCAUGAAAUCUCCAUUGGAGUCUUCCUUGUUUAGUUCUUAUUUAAAAGAUAGGGAUAUGAGAUUAUUCAAAUCAUUCAGCUUGUAAAAUUAUCUUUGCAAAACAUCCAAGUCUGACAAAAUGAGAGACAAGCCUCCUGAAAGAUAGUCAUAGCUUUGUACCUUGUCUGCAAUCCUUUUCCAGUUGGUUUUCAUUUAAAUGAAUUUUGAAAUAUUGCUG
RNAcentral lists this unclassified non-coding RNA (349 nucleotides) under Hevea brasiliensis (rubber tree). The record is from RNAcentral. Lineage: Eukaryota; Viridiplantae; Streptophyta; Magnoliopsida; Malpighiales; Euphorbiaceae.